This 512-nucleotide ribosomal RNA is filed under the name uncultured bacterium. Its description in RNAcentral is "partial 16S ribosomal RNA". The record is from RNAcentral.
GGAGUUAGCCGGUGCUUCUUCUGCGAGUAACGUCACAGAUGUAAGGUAUUAACUUACACCCUUUCCUCCUCGCUGAAAGUGCUUUACAACCCGAAGGCCUUCUUCACACACGCGGCAUGGCUGCAUCAGGGUUUCCCCCAUUGUGCAAUAUUCCCCACUGCUGCCUCCCGUAGGAGUCUGGGCCGUGUCUCAGUCCCAGUGUGGCUGAUCAUCCUCUCAGACCAGCUAGGGAUCGUCGCCUAGGUGAGCCUUUACCUCACCUACUAGCUAAUCCCACCUGGGCUUAUCCAUCAGCGCAAGGCCCGAAGGUCCCCUGCUUUCCCCCGUAGGGCGUAUGCGGUAUUAGCAGUCGUUUCCAACUGUUAUCCCCCACAAAUGGGCAAAUUCCCAGGCAUUACUCACCCGUCCGCCGCUCGUCAUCUUCAAAAGCAAGCUUUUGAAAUGUUACCGCUCGACUUGCAUGUGUUAGGCCUGCCGCCAGCGUUAAAAUCUGAGCCAGAAUCAAACUCUGA